This 856-nucleotide ribosomal RNA is filed under the name Alicyclobacillus acidoterrestris. Its description in RNAcentral is "bacterial SSU rRNA". It matches the Rfam family "Bacterial small subunit ribosomal RNA", at positions 602 to 1460 of the family's 1533-position model. The record is from RNAcentral. Lineage: Bacteria; Bacillati; Bacillota; Bacilli; Caryophanales; Alicyclobacillaceae.
CCAAGGCUCAACCUGGGAUUGCUUUGGAAACUGCAUGACUUGAGUGCUGGAGAGGCAAGGGGAAUUCCACGUGUAGCGGUGAAAUGCGUAGAUAUGUGGAGGAAUACCAGUGGCGAAGGCGCCUUGCUGGACAGUGACUGACGCUGAGGCACGAAAGCGUGGGGAGCAAACAGGAUUAGAUACCCUGGUAGUCCACGCCGUAAACGAUGAGUGCUAGGUGUUGGGGGGACACACCCCAGUGCCGAAGGAAACCCAAUAAGCACUCCGCCUGGGGAGUACGGUCGCAAGACUGAAACUCAAAGGAAUUGACGGGGGCCCGCACAAGCAGUGGAGCAUGUGGUUUAAUUCGAAGCAACGCGAAGAACCUUACCAGGGCUUGACAUCCCUCUGACCGGUGCAGAGAUGUACCUUCCCUUCGGGGCAGAGGAGACAGGUGGUGCAUGGUUGUCGUCAGCUCGUGUCGUGAGAUGUUGGGUUAAGUCCCGCAACGAGCGCAACCCUUGAUCUGUGUUACCAGCACGUAGAGGUGGGGACUCACAGGUGACUGCCGGCGUAAGUCGGAGGAAGGCGGGGAUGACGUCAAAUCAUCAUGCCCUUUAUGUCCUGGGCUACACACGUGCUACAAUGGGCGGUACAACGGGAAGCGAAGCCGCGAGGUGGAGCAAAACCUAAAAAGCCGUUCGUAGUUCGGAUUGCAGGCUGCAACUCGCCUGCAUGAAGCCGGAAUUGCUAGUAAUCGCGGAUCAGCAUGCCGCGGUGAAUCCGUUCCCGGGCCUUGUACACACCGCCCGUCACACCACGAGAGUCGGCAACACCCGAAGUCGGUGAGGUAACCGUUAUGGAGCCAGCCGCCGAA